This 417-nucleotide unclassified non-coding RNA is filed under the name uncultured Sebacinaceae. RNAcentral describes it as "sequence contains ITS2". The stretch from base 1 to 154 matches the Rfam family "5.8S ribosomal RNA". The record is from RNAcentral. Lineage: Eukaryota; Fungi; Basidiomycota; Agaricomycetes; Sebacinales; Sebacinaceae.
AACUUGCAACAACGUGUCUCUUGGCUCUCGCAUCGAUUAAGAACGCAGCGAAAUGCGAUAAGUAAUGUGAAUUGCAGAAUUCAGUGAAUCAUCGAAUCUUUGAACGCACCUUGCACCCUUUGGCAUUCCGAAGGGUAUGCUCGUUUGAGUGUCAUUGUACUCUCACACUUCUCAUCCUUUGGAUUUGGAGCGGUGGACUUGGGUGUUGCCGCUUUACGGUGGCUCACCUCUAAUGCAUUCGUGCAACUCUUGGUUGGACAUAGUACGGCGUGAUAAGUGUCUUCGCCGGCACCUCGCAAGAGGGUGGCUGAUUGAGAGCUCUGUGCUUUCAAACCGUCCUUGGACAAUGACUGACAACUUGACCUCAAAUCGAGUAGGACUACCCGCUGAACUUAAGCAUAUCAAUAAGCGGAGGCU